This 856-nucleotide ribosomal RNA is filed under the name uncultured Chloroflexota bacterium. RNAcentral describes it as "bacterial SSU rRNA". It matches the Rfam family "Bacterial small subunit ribosomal RNA", at positions 633 to 1501 of the family's 1533-position model. The record is from RNAcentral. Lineage: Bacteria; Bacillati; Chloroflexota.
CUGCCUGGCUAGAGGGCGACAGAGGGAGGUGGGAUUCCCGGUGUAGUGGUGAAAUGCGUAGAUAUCGGGAGGAACACCAGUGGCGAAGGCGGCCUCCUGGGUCGCCCCUGACGCUCAGACGCGAAAGCUAGGGGAGCAAACGGGAUUAGAUACCCCGGUAGUCCUAGCUGUAAACGAUGUGGACUUGGCGUUGGUGGGGUUAAAUCCAUCAGUGCCGAAGCUAACGCGAUAAGUCCACCGCCUGGGGACUACGACCGCAAGGUUAAAACUCAAAGGAAUUGGCGGGGGCCCGCACAAGCAGCGGAGCGUGUGGUUUAAUUCGAUACUACACGAAGAACCUUACCCGGGUUUGACAUCCAGGUGGUAGGGAACCGAAAGGUGACCGACCCUUCGGGGAGCCUGGACAGGUGCUGCAUGGCUGUCGUCAGCUCGUGUCGUGAGAUGUCCGGUUAAGUCCGGUAACGAGCGCAACCCUUGCUGUAUGUUAUACGUGUCAUACAGGACUGCCGGUUUAGUGCCGGAGGAAGGCGGGGAUGACGUCAAGUCAGCAUGGCCUUUAUAUCCGGGGCUACACACACGCUACAAUGGUCAGUACAACAGGUUGCAAAACCGCGAGGUGGAGCCAAUCCCCAAAACUGGCCUCAGUUCAGAUUGCAGGCUGCAACUCGCCUGCAUGAAGUCGGAGUUGCUAGUAACCGCGCGUCAGCUAUAGUGCGGUGAAUACGUUCUCGGGCCUUGCACACACCGCCCGUCACGUCAUGGAAGCUGACAACACCUGAAGCCGGUAUCCCAACCGCAAGGAGGGAGCUGUCGAAGGUGGGGUUGGUGACUGGGACGAAGUCGUAACAAGGUAACC